AGGAAUUGACGGGGGCCCGCACAAGCAGCGGAGCGUGUGGUUUAAUUCGAUGCUACACGAAGAACCUUACCCGGGUUUGACAUACAGGUGGUAGGGAUCCGAAAGGUGACCGACCCGCAAGGGAGCCUGAACAGGUGUUGCAUGGCUGUCGUCAGCUCGUGUCGUGAGAUGUUCGGUUAAGUCCGCUAACGAGCGCAACCCUCGCCGCGUGUUACAAGUGUCACGCGGGACCGCCGGUAUCAAGCCGGAGGAAGGUGGGGAUGACGUCAAGUCAGCAUGGCCUUUAUAUCCGGGGCUACACACACGCUACAAUGGCCGGUACAAUGGGGUUGCUAAGCCGGGAGCUAAGCCGCGAGGCGGAGCCAAUCCCCCAAAGCCGGUCUCAGUUCAGAU
RNAcentral lists this ribosomal RNA (393 nucleotides) under uncultured bacterium. Its description in RNAcentral is "bacterial SSU rRNA". It matches the Rfam family "Bacterial small subunit ribosomal RNA", at positions 905 to 1298 of the family's 1533-position model. The record is from RNAcentral.